AAACUAUUUUAAAAUUAAUAUAGUGAUUGUCCUAGGGAUUUUUGGUCAUUAACAUGUCUGAAAAGAAGAUUUUUUUUUACUAAGAAAGGAAAUUUGUUAUGUCUGGUUACACUGCCUGAAAACCAACAUGGAUGUCUCUUCUUAACUAGCGCAAGUUGUUGCUGACUGUAUUUCAAGAACUGUGUGUUUUAACUACCAACUUUAAUCUAUUUUGAAGAUGAGAGCUUUUAUUUACUAUCAUUAACAUGGUUUAUUUUAAUAGCUAAAUAUGAAAUAUAACUGAUUUUGGAUAAUACUUCUGGGACGUGGAAAACAUGCCUAAAAAAAAGCUCACAGAAAAUGAAAAAAAAAAAAAAAGAAGAAAAUUGAAAGAAAGGGAGAGAAGAAAGAAGUUGAGUGAAGAUCCACAAAAAAUGAGCAACAUAAAUUAAAAGAGAAGCAGGGGUACAUAAAAAACAAAGAAAAAGGUGUAGGUAAUUUAGUAAAGGACAUGUCUCAUAGAGAGCUGAGGAACAAAUGCAAAAACUGGAAAAGAAACAGCUGCAUACAGAAAGAAAAAGCAAGGUUUGCAAAAAUUUUUCAAGAUUCACCUCCAGAAAGUGAUUUAGACACUGUCUCUCACCAUUCAAGGGAAGAAAGUUUGCAGAUAGAUCAUGAAGUGCCACAAAAUAUUGAACUUUGCAGCAGCACCAGAUGUUCUGAAAAAAUACUUUUGUUAACUACACCCAAGAGAAGGAAUUUUGUGCAUGAUCAAACCACCUAUUCCAGCAUCAUCAACCAAAUUCAAAGUGCCUGAAAAAUCAAAAAUUGAUAAACUCUGUAGUGAAGUACUGCGAAGACCCUAAGUGUUAAACUAAAUUUAAAAUUUGUGAAAGUGUAAAAACCUUAUGCUAAAUUUCAAGUUUGUUUCAGAGUAUAAUUAAAACAUUUUAUAUUAAUCAAUCAAAUUGCAUUUAAUUUUGUAUUUGCUAUAUAUCUGAUCAUUCACAUGCUCAUGAAUGUCAUUAACAUGCCCAUGUGUCAUUUACAUGGUUAUGAAAGUAUACAAAAAUAAAAACAAAAACAUAUAAAAAUAUUUAAGCUUUGCUGAUACCAUGCCAUAAUUAUGUACCUCUUAAAGUAUUAAAAUUAUUUUUUUGGAAAUUUUAAAACGUAUUUGACAUUUUGAUUUUUAGGUAUACAGAAAUAUCCUAUAAUUAUAGAAUCACCCAUAUCCACAAAGCCUAAUGGAAGAACUCUUUGGUGAAGUACAUUGUGUGAAACUAUUUAAUGACAAGUCAGCUCAUAAGCUUUGUAUAAAUCCAGUGUACCACAGUCGAACUAAACACAUUGACGUGAGACACAUUUCAUCAGGGAAGCUGUUGAAAACAGGAAGGUUGAAGUAAUAUAUCUGCCAAGCAACAGCAUGACUGCGGAUGUGCUAACAAAGGCGCUGCAUAAAUCUCAUCAUGAGAACUGUGUGCGUGGACUGGGACUUGACGUCAUCAAGUAAUUUUUUUUUGUGUGUCUGCUGCUUGAUUAUGGGGAAGUGUUGUUUUUGUUAUCAAGCAGCAGUUGGCAAAACUGCAUCGGAAGCGGGAACAGUAGUGUGCUGUUAUGUUUACAUGAUGUAAAAGCGUUGUGUAGUAAAAAGAUGCAAUGUUA
This is a long non-coding RNA of Bacillus rossius redtenbacheri, 1644 nucleotides long. RefSeq lists it as uncharacterized. NCBI's taxonomy places the organism in Eukaryota, Metazoa, Arthropoda, Insecta, Phasmatodea, Bacillidae. The record is from RefSeq and is a predicted model, not a curated record. The transcript has 2 exons.